Molecule: long non-coding RNA, 236 nt
Organism: Perca fluviatilis (European perch)
Lineage: Eukaryota; Metazoa; Chordata; Actinopteri; Perciformes; Percidae
Exons: 2
Source: RefSeq, a predicted model, not a curated record
CGACGAUUGACUUUUUUUUUUUACCUCCUGAUGUGUUGCUGAAAAGUUAACCUCCCCUCCGGUGAUUUGUAAUUAUAACGUAUCAACGUUUAUUAACAUUAACAACGUGAAAAGGCGUGCACAUCCAGAGAGUCUACGGUGAGGUCGUAGGGGUCCAUUUUAAGCUUGUUGAAGACUUCCUUGAGUGUGAGCUGUUGGCUGCCCUUCUCCAAGAUGACGCGAUCUGCCUCUGUCUG